RNAcentral lists this ribosomal RNA (398 nucleotides) under uncultured bacterium. Its description in RNAcentral is "partial 16S ribosomal RNA". It matches the Rfam family "Bacterial small subunit ribosomal RNA", at positions 523 to 918 of the family's 1533-position model. The record is from RNAcentral.
AUACGUAGGGGGCGAGCGUUGUCCGGAAUGAUUGGGCGUAAAGGGCGCGUAGGCGGCCCGGUAAGUCUGGAGUGAAAGUCCUGUUUUUAAGAUGGGAAUUGCUUUGGAUACUGUCGGGCUUGAGUGCAGGAGAGGUAAGUGGAAUUCCCAGUGUAGCGGUGAAAUGCGUAGAGAUUGGGAGGAACACUAGUGGCGAAGGCGACUUACUGGACCGUAACUGACGCUGAGGCGCGAAAGUGUGGGGAGCAAACAGGAUUAGAUACCCUGGUAGUCCACACUGUAAACGAUGAAUGCUAGGUGUUGGGGAACAUGAAGUUCUUCGGUGCCGUCGCUAACGCAUUAAGUAUUCCACCUGGGGAGUACGUUCGCAAGAAUGAAACUCAAAGGAAUUGACGGGG